RNAcentral lists this ribosomal RNA (370 nucleotides) under uncultured eukaryote. Its description in RNAcentral is "partial 18S ribosomal RNA". It matches the Rfam family "Eukaryotic small subunit ribosomal RNA", at positions 592 to 975 of the family's 1831-position model. The record is from RNAcentral.
CAAUAGCGUAUAUUAAAGUUGUUGCAGUUAAAAAGCUCGUAGUUGAAUCUUGGGAGCGGGUGGGCUAGCGAGCCACAGCCCGUCCCUGCUUCUUGCCUCUCGGUGCCCCCUGGAUGCUCUUAGCUGAGUGUCCUGUGGCCCGAAGCACUUACUUUGAAAAAAUUAGAGUGUUCAAAGCAGGCCCAAGCCGCCUGGAUACUGCAGCUUGGAAUAAUGGAAUAGGGCCACAGUUCUAUUUUGUUGGUUUUCGGAACUGAGGCCAUGAUUAAGAGGGACGGCCGGGGGCAUUCAUAUUGCACCGCUAGAGGUGAAAUUCUUGGACUGGCAGUUUAGACCAGAGCGAAGGCAUUUGCCAAGAAUGUUUUCAUUA